UGGAAUACCCUCUUUAUUGAUUAGUUAC
RNAcentral lists this non-coding RNA (28 nucleotides) under Mus musculus (house mouse). Lineage: Eukaryota; Metazoa; Chordata; Mammalia; Rodentia; Muridae. The record is from RNAcentral.